AUGAAAGCUCUGUUCUGGAAUAUUCGUGGUUUCGGUGCUAGGGGGCGCCGUGACCAGAUUCGUGACUUGGUUUGUGGUGAACAUAUUGACAUUUUAGGGCUGGUCGAAAUGUUCAAGGAAUCCUUUUCCCCGUCUGAACUAUCUACGAUAGCUGGGAUGGAUAGGUUUGAUUGGCACCUUCUCCCCGCCUCGGGCCACUCUGGGGGAAUCUUGAUUGGGUCCAGGCGGGACGUUUUUGAUUUCAUUACUUUUGAUCAUGGCAUCUUUUGGGCUAGCUGUGUGGUUCAUCAUCGUCAGCUCAACACUUUGUGGGAAUUUAUGGUGGUAUAUGGCCCUGCGGAUCACAUGCUUGCUCCUCUCUUUUUGGACGAACUAUCGACUAAGAUUGAAACUUGUUCUAUUCCUCUUCUAAUUGGGGGCGAUUUCAAUUUGCUAUGUUCUCCGGCCGACAAGAACAAUCCUAAUUUCUCCUGGCCUCUCGCCAAUGCUUUUAAUGAUUUCAUCAGUAACUACGCGCUGCGUGAGCUCCCUAGGGUGGGGGCGCGUUUCACCUGGUCUAACCAUCAAUCCUCGCCUGUCCGGUCGGUGUUGGACAAGGUUUUCGUUUCUGUGCAGUGGGACUCGCUAUUUCCGCGCGCGUUGCUUAAGGCUAGGCCUGCGGUGGGCUCUGAUCAUGUUCCCCUGAUCCUGGAUGCGGGUAUCCUUUCUCUUGUUUCUCCCUCCCGUUUCCAGUUUGAUGCUUCCUGGCUUGUUGUGGAGGGUUUUUGUGACAUGGUGGCUUCUAAUAUCACUAAUUUUCUCUCCUCUACUCACCGCUCCUUUGGCCCCUUGGAUGAUUGGCACAAGCUAUCUUCUGAGUUGUGUAAAUUCUUAAGGGGGUGGUCUCGGAACAGGGCGGCCGAGUUGCGUAGAGACAAGGAGUCCCUCGAAUCUCAAAUCCGGGAGUUGGAUUUAUCUGCUGACACAUCUGGGCUUUCACCUUCUUAG
RNAcentral lists this ribosomal RNA (987 nucleotides) under Triticum aestivum (bread wheat). RNAcentral describes it as "partial small subunit ribosomal RNA". Lineage: Eukaryota; Viridiplantae; Streptophyta; Magnoliopsida; Poales; Poaceae. The record is from RNAcentral.